RNAcentral lists this ribosomal RNA (206 nucleotides) under uncultured bacterium. Its description in RNAcentral is "partial 16S ribosomal RNA". It matches the Rfam family "Bacterial small subunit ribosomal RNA", at positions 568 to 774 of the family's 1533-position model. The record is from RNAcentral.
CGUGUAGGCGGUUCGAUAAGUCUGCUGUGAAAGUCCAGGGCUCAACCCUGGAAAGCCGGUGGAUACUGUCGGACUAGAGUGCAGAAGAGGCGAGUGGAAUUCCCGGUGUAGCGGUGAAAUGCGCAGAUAUCGGGAGGAACACCAAUUGCGAAGGCAGCUCGCUGGGACGUUACUGACGCUGAGACGCGAAAGCGUGGGAGCAAACA